GACGAACGCUGGCGGCGUGCCUAAUACAUGCAAGUAGAACGCUGAAGAGAGGAGCUUGCUCUUCUUGGAUGAGUUGCGAACGGGUGAGUAACGCGUAGGUAACCUGCCUUGUAGCGGGGGAUAACUAUUGGAAGCGAUAGCUAAUACCGCAUAACAAUGAAUGACACAUGUCAUUUAUUUGAAAGGGGCAAUUGCUCCACUACAAGAUGGACCUGCGUUGUAUUAGCUAGUUGGUGAGGUAACGGCUCACCAAGGCAACGAUGCAUAGCCGACCUGAGAGGGUGAUCGGCCACACUGGGACUGAGACACGGCCCAGACUCCUACGGGAGGCAGCAGUAGGGAAUCUUCGGCAAUGGGGGCAACCCUGACCGAGCAACGCCGCGUGAGUGAAGAAGGUUUUCGGAUCGUAAAGCUCUGUUGUAAGAGAAGAACGAGUGUGAGAGUGGAAAGUUCACACUGUGACGGUAACUUACCAGAAAGGGACGGCUAACUACGUGCCAGCAGCCGCGGUAAUACGUAGGUCCCGAGCGUUAUCCGGAUUUAUUGGGCGUAAAGCGAGCGCAGGCGGUUAGAUAAGUCUGAAGUUAAAGGCUGUGGCUUAACCAUAGUACGCUUUGGAAACUGUUUAACUUGAGUGCAGAAGGGGAGAGUGGAAUUCCAUGUGUAGCGGUGAAAUGCGUAGAUAUAUGGAGGAACACCGGUGGCGAAAGCGGCUCUCUGGUCUGUAACUGACGCUGAGGCUCGAAAGCGUGGGGAGCAAACAGG
Molecule: ribosomal RNA, 765 nt
Filed under: uncultured Streptococcus sp.
Lineage: Bacteria; Bacillati; Bacillota; Bacilli; Lactobacillales; Streptococcaceae
Description: bacterial SSU rRNA
Rfam family: Bacterial small subunit ribosomal RNA
Source: RNAcentral